GCCGUAGGAAAGCAGCCUUGGAUUUUUUUCACGCUAUAUCUCUGAUUUUUGCUUGAAACUUCAGAACUUUCAAAGCAGUCGAUGCUGAAGUGGAUGCAAGAAGGGUCUGGUGACAUCUGAAGGGAUGGCUGCAUGUUGCACAGAGCAGGAGGGGACCCUGCUGCAUCCAGACCAAAGGGCCCUGCACAGGAAUGAUGAAUGGGGAUUUGAACUUGGGCCUCCCCGGUCGUAAUCCAACAGUCUAACACCUAUACCAUGCUAACGCUCUUGUGUAUGGCUCUCUAUGCCUUAUAUGCCUAAUUUACCAUGCCUUAUUGAUGCAUUUCAUAUUUCAUUGCUUGUAUGUAUUCUUAUGAACCUCCGAUCAUUAAUUUAAGAGAAAUCAGGAUAGUAUCUGUGCUCUUUGAGUUUCAGCGUGCCUCCUUGGCUAUGCCUUCACCCCUUUGGGAAGACCACUGGGGUAACUGGAGGACCCUGGUCCACAGUGGCAGCUUGGAGCCAGAACUCAUACUGAGCCAGAACACCAGCAGUGCUGCUGGCUUGCCUUGCAGCCCGGUGCAUAGGGAGGGCUCCGUGAUCCUCAGGGACAUAUUUCUGGCAAUGAACAGGGCUUUUGCGGGCAGUGGAGAGCAACAAAAACCACUUCCACGUCCCUCUCCACCUGCACUGUGCUGUGAGGUACGCUGGCAACACAGUUAGUGUUCAGGCUCCAUGUGAGGGCAGAGUUCUUGCUCCACUCUCAAAGCUGUGGAGAAAAUGGACCACCAUCCUUCUAAGGCAUAGUAACAGGGUGUUUGAAGCUUUCUACCUCAUGCCAUAUUUUUUUUUGACAUAAACUGGCCUCUUAUGAGGGGGAAAGUACAGAUAUCAAAUUAAAAGGUGUCAUGCCCCCACUCCCUGCUGUUUAGAAAAGACAAAGUUGUUGGGAGAGAUGAUCACAGACUCCAGGAUCCCUGGGUAGUUGCACUGACUCUUGGGAAUUCCUUCAAACACAGCCGUGGUAGAGAACCAGGCGUGAUAAGAGCCAGCAUGGUGUAGUGGUUAGUCAUGGAUUAGGCCUGGGGAGAUGAGCUCAAAUUUACAUUCAGUCAGAAAGUGAACCUUCUCUAGGGUUGCCCUAGGGCUCUGGAACACACUCCCAAAUGAAAUCAGAACCACCCCAUCUCUGGCUGCUUUUCAGAGACUUUUGCAAACAUACCUAUUAUAUCAGAUUUUAGUUUAUAACAUUUUAA
Molecule: long non-coding RNA, 1232 nt
Organism: Hemicordylus capensis (graceful crag lizard)
Lineage: Eukaryota; Metazoa; Chordata; Lepidosauria; Squamata; Cordylidae
Exons: 3
Source: RefSeq, a predicted model, not a curated record